This is a long non-coding RNA of Rhipicephalus microplus (southern cattle tick), 373 nucleotides long. The record is from RefSeq and is a predicted model, not a curated record. Lineage: Eukaryota; Metazoa; Arthropoda; Arachnida; Ixodida; Ixodidae.
GUGAAGGCAUUCGUGAGACCAAGGACGCCAAACGGGAAGCGGAUCCGCACAUAUCAGUGCCUGCGUCUCCCUCGCAGUUGGAAUUCUACAUAGUUAAGCAAGGUGGUGACACACAGAUACUUAUAUUGUUCAGCGUCAGUCAAAACCUGGUGUACUUUAAGCUGAUGUUGAGUGCGCUGCAGAGUUACAUUGGUACAGGGCGAUCAGGCAUCAUCACACAACGCUUCUACGCUGACAUGUUUGAUGAAGCGGCUAGCAGUGAAGACAUUCCUGAGACCAAGUAUACCGAACGGGAACUGGAUUCACACAAGCCGGUGUCUGCCUCUCCAUUGCAACUGGACUUCGACAUAGAUGAGCAGGGUGGUGAUACGCA